CAACCCUCAGGGCCCGCCUGCUUGCAGGCGCGGCGCUGGUGUUGGGGAUCGGCUCCUCCGCCGUCCCCCAAAUACAGUGGCGGUCUCGCUGCAGCCUCCCCUGCGUAGUAGCAACACUCGCAUGCGGAGCGCGGCGCGGCCACGCCGUAAAACCCCCGACUUUCUGAA
RNAcentral lists this unclassified non-coding RNA (168 nucleotides) under uncultured fungus. RNAcentral describes it as "sequence contains ITS2". The record is from RNAcentral. Lineage: Eukaryota; Fungi.